GACGAACGCUGGCGGCGUGCUUAACACAUGCAAGUCGAACGGAAAGGCCCUGCUUUUGUGUGGUGCUCGAGUGGCGAACGGGUGAGUAACACGUGAGUAACCUGCCCUUGACUUUGGGAUAACUUCAGGAAACUGGGGCUAAUACCGGAUAGGAGCUCCUGCUGCAUGGUGGGGGUUGGAAAUUUUCGGCGGUUGUGGAUGGACUCGGGGCUUAUCAGCUUGUUGGUGGGGUAGUGGCUUACCAAGGCUUUGACGGGUAGCCUGCCUGAGAGGGUGGACGGACACAUUGGGACUGAGGUACGGAGCAGUGUCCUACGGGAGGCAGUAGUGGGGAAUAUUGCACAAUGGGCGGAAGCCUGAUGCAGCAACGCCGCGUGCGGGAUGAAGGCCUUCGGGUUGUAAACCGCUUUCGCCUGUGACGAAGCGUGAGUGACGGUAAUGGGUAAAGAAGCACCGGCUAACUACGUG
RNAcentral lists this ribosomal RNA (468 nucleotides) under uncultured bacterium. Its description in RNAcentral is "partial 16S ribosomal RNA". It matches the Rfam family "Bacterial small subunit ribosomal RNA", at positions 28 to 507 of the family's 1533-position model. The record is from RNAcentral.